This 457-nucleotide long non-coding RNA is filed under the name Olea europaea subsp. europaea. Lineage: Eukaryota; Viridiplantae; Streptophyta; Magnoliopsida; Lamiales; Oleaceae. The record is from RNAcentral.
ACAAUUUAUCCAUGGGGGUGGUGAUUUAGUAGCAGUGGGUGGCAAAGUGGCUUUGUUAACUAUUACGUUAGGAAUGUGAUUUUUUUGGUACAUCUCAUCCAUGCAUUUAUGAUUCAUGUCACGGUAUUGAUAUUCUUGAAAGGUGUUCUAUUUGCUUGUAGCUCUCGUUUGAUACCAGAUAAAGCAAAUCUUAGUUUUCGUUUUCCUUGUGAUGGACCUAGAAGAGGGGAUAUAUGUCAAGUAUCGGCUUAGGAUAAUGUCUUCUUAGAACUGUUCUGGAUGUACAAUUUCAUUUCGAUAGUAAUAUUCCAUUUCAGUUGGAAAAUUUAGUCAGAUAUUUGGGGCAGUAUAAGUGAUCAAGGGGUAGUAAUCAUAUCACGGGAGGAAACUUCGCCCAGAGUUCUAUUACUAUUAUUGGGUGGCUUCGGGAUUUCUUAUGGGCACAGGCAUCCCAACA